Bombina bombina (fire-bellied toad) is the source of this 284-nucleotide long non-coding RNA. RefSeq lists it as uncharacterized. The transcript is spliced from 2 exons. NCBI's taxonomy places the organism in Eukaryota, Metazoa, Chordata, Amphibia, Anura, Bombinatoridae. The record is from RefSeq and is a predicted model, not a curated record.
UCAGUCUGUACCUACCAGCACAUUAGGGUGCUACAGCACAAUGCACUUCAUAAAGCUGUUCUGAGUGUUGAUGAGUAUGGAUCUAAGGCUGCAGGAGCAACAGCUCUGGAGAUUCGGGUCAUGUCGCUUUCUCCAUCUGUCGUGUUCAACAGGCCAUUCUUAUUAGUUAUCUACCAUCGUACAACUAGAAGCGUACCCUUCAUCGGAAAGAUUGUAAACCCGACUGCCUAGAUUUAUGCAUUCUUUGAGUGUUUUUAACCACAAUAAAAUAACAGCUAUCUUGA